UACGUAGGGGGCAAGCGUUGUCCGGAAUUAUUGGGCGUAAAGCGCGCGCAGGCGGUUUCUUAAGUCCGAUGUAUAAGCCUGGGGCUCAACCCCGGGAGGCAUGGGAAACUGGGAGGCUUGAGUGCAGAAGAGGAGAGUGGAAUUCCACGUGUAGCGGUGAAAUGCGUAGAUAUGUGGAGGAACACCAGUGGCGAAGGCGACUCUCUGGUCUGUAACUGACGCUGAGGCGCGAAAGCGUGGGGAGCAAACAGG
RNAcentral lists this non-coding RNA (252 nucleotides) under uncultured bacterium. RNAcentral describes it as "partial 16S ribosomal RNA". It matches the Rfam family "Bacterial small subunit ribosomal RNA", at positions 524 to 776 of the family's 1533-position model. RNAcentral also lists the same sequence under 2 other names. The record is from RNAcentral.